UUGAACGCUGGCGGCAUGCUUUACACAUGCAAGUCGAACGGUAACAGGCCUUCGGGUGCUGACGAGUGGCGAACGGGUGGGUAAUGCAUCGGAACGUGCCCAAUCGUGGGGGAUAACGUAGCGAAAGUCACGCUAAUACCGCAUACGCCCUGAGGGGGAAAGCAGGGGAUCUUCGGACCUUGUGCGAAUGGAGCGGCCGAUGUCAGAUUAGCUAGUUGGUGGGGUAAAGGCCCACCAAGGCGACGAUCUGUAGCGGGUCUGAGAGGAUGAUCCGCCACACUGGGACUGAGACACGGCCCAGACUCCUACGGGAGGCAGCAGUGGGGAAUUUUGGACAAUGGGCGCAAGCCUGAUCCAGCCAUGCCGCGUGCGGGACGAAGGCCUUCGGGUUGUAAAGCACUUUUAGAGAGGAUGAGGAAGGACGGUACUCUCUGAAUAAGUCUCGGCUAACUACGU
Molecule: ribosomal RNA, 456 nt
Filed under: uncultured bacterium
Lineage: Bacteria
Description: bacterial SSU rRNA
Rfam family: Bacterial small subunit ribosomal RNA
Source: RNAcentral